UCCCCUGCGCAGAACUUGUUGCGUUCAACUUCGACUCAGCGUUACUGGGUGGAAGAGGAGCUGGAUGGGACAAGUAGCCAGACCCUGACCGUCAUUCCGAAACUCCUGCGGAUCACCGCAGAUUUGCUGACUUGCGCACGCACUAAGGAAAGCUAGCUGGGGGCUGUGCGCUUGAGAGACGGACGCUUUGAUUUGAAGCUCGUACAAAUAAAUCCCGACGGCCUGUAGUCACGUUCAGACAGCUGUGUGUGCGAACCAACACGACGUCGGUUUUGCCGGGUUGAGAGAUCCUUUGGAACCUCAUCCUCCCCUGGGACGAAGAGCAAUUUCGGCGACAGGUUUUCCCACUUUGCUCCUUUCGCUGCUCUUGUCACCUCGCGUCGCGAUGAUCCCGCCGAGAGAUACUUUUCUGUCGUGGGUUCUCUCCACUCGGCCGAGGCAUCGCUCUCCUCCCCCCUCCCGAUGUUGUCCAACCGCGCGCUUUAGCUUCCGUGAGGUAACGGCACUCUCCUUUUUUCAUUCAGUCGCAGCGUCUCGGUGUAAUGGGAUUACACGGGAUUACAAAAAGCAGACGAUCUGUAAUCCACACCACUCAAUCCCAUUUACGACCGAGUAAUUCCUCCUCGCUGCUGCUUUUAAUCUUCUUUCACUCCUACCAUCUCCUGGUGUCAAUUAGUUUGCUUUCAACCCCCACCCCCAAAUAUCCAACCUUCAGCAAGUCAAAGGUCAACAUGAGCCGCACCGCACACCCACGUGCGUUAAACGCGGAUGCGAGCAGCCUGUUCUUCAUUGACAACACAUCUUAAGCAUCAAAUACAGCGAGUUUGAAAAAUGAGUGCUGUGAUGCCCUCGCGUGUGGGCAAGGAGAGCCACGCUUGCCCAUGCGCGUUCAGCCGUUUAUUGAAUGGGACAAAAUGAGAACACGCGCAAGGAGCCGCUGUAGGCCACAACUCGGAUUUCAGAAAUGUUCUUGCUUUGACUUGCGAGCAAACAUUUGAGAUAGGAGUGCUGCGUGGUGGCAGUGAACUCGACUCGCUUCACAAGUUUUGCGUAGUGUACAAAUCUUUAAAAAAAAAAAAAAAAACACGAAAUAAUAAUAACGAAAUAAAAAGUAUUGCGCAUUUUGUAUUUAAAACAAUCACAUGACUUUGCCUUCAAGUCAACUUGCUUAAGACCAACAUGUAAUGGAAAUGCCAUGAACGGGUUAACGAAUAGCGUCUACGUCGCGGCUGGCUCGUGCUUGAACACAAGCGGUGCAGCAACACACGUAGACAGAAAAUAUAAUGCUUACAGGCGUAUAUUCUUAAUCCUCUGGCAAAAACGAGAAAUAUUACAGGAGCUUACUGAGUCUCUUACAGGAGUUGAAAAGUCAUUUGUUUGUGAGAAGGAAUCGCAAGGCACCGUUGCACUGGAAGGCUGAAUUAGGAGCCUGGUGCGGAUUUGCCUUCUCACAGAUGAAUGCAUUUUUUUCCAUUUAAAAGUUUUAUUUAAAUUAUUUUUACAUUUUGUAAAUAUUUUGUAA
Phycodurus eques (leafy seadragon) is the source of this 1522-nucleotide long non-coding RNA. RefSeq lists it as uncharacterized. The record is from RefSeq and is a predicted model, not a curated record. NCBI's taxonomy places the organism in Eukaryota, Metazoa, Chordata, Actinopteri, Syngnathiformes, Syngnathidae. The transcript is spliced from 3 exons.